GGGCGAGUGGCGGAAUGGCAGACGCUGGGGCCUUAAAAGCCCCUCUGGUGAAAACCGGGUGUGGGUUCGAGUCCCACCUUGCCCA
This 85-nucleotide transfer RNA is filed under the name Planctomycetota bacterium. RNAcentral's name for it is "tRNA-Leu". It matches the Rfam family "tRNA". From Rfam's summary of the family: Transfer RNA (tRNA) molecules are approximately 80 nucleotides in length. The record is from RNAcentral. RNAcentral also lists the same sequence under 1 other name. Lineage: Bacteria; Pseudomonadati; Planctomycetota.